Molecule: small RNA, 2926 nt
Filed under: Cryptococcus neoformans H99
Lineage: Eukaryota; Fungi; Basidiomycota; Tremellomycetes; Tremellales; Cryptococcaceae
Description: Cryptococcus neoformans var. grubii H99 hypothetical RNA
Source: RNAcentral
GCAGUUCAGUUUGUGAGCUUGUUGGUUUGAGAGUCACGCUGCAUAAUUUCUUGCCGUGCUGUUCUAUCAUAAUCCGAUUCAUGGUAUCUAAAAGGAAUAAUGUGCUAUCAGUUAACAUCUCCGCAAGUCUAUAUAAUGCAUGAACCGGUACGUAAAGUAUACAGUACUCAUAAUGAGAAAGUAGAUUCGGGCGCGUACUCAAGACAAUCCGCCCACCGGAUGACCUUGAACAAUAAAAUCCUCACGGACACUGCAACAUACCUACACUCGCCAUUUAGCCCUGCGCCUCCUCCCCUCCAUACGCAUUACUCUUAUGUUUCGGCACAAACGAAAACCCUUCAUCCACCUUGCCCAAAAACAUCUCUGAAAUCUUCACCCAAUCACCGGCAAACGGACUUGCCAAAAGCGUCUCCAGCUCGUUCCUACCCCUGUACGCUGGGGGUCGUUCAUUGAGUUUGCCCGGGAGGCGUUCGAGGAGGCCGAUGGGGAUGUACCGAUGUUGGAAGGAGAGGGCUUCGCAUAGGAAUCGACGGGUGGUAUUAACACCUUGGGUGUCGGAACCCCAAUGGGAGAGACCGAAUUCGGCGAACUGUGAAGGUAGGCGUGGUUAGUUUGUAUAACCCUAUACAAUGCUUCACGAAAUGGGAAACUUUGAAAGAAGAAAAAAACACAGGAACCCACCUUUUUUAUACCUUCCAACCUCUCCACCGCGGAAAUAUCCCACUCUCUCCUCUCCUUGAUCUCCGUAAAGAUCCAUGGUUUGAUCAACGCUCCUCUCGCGACCAUCACUCCAUCCACGCCACUCCUCUCCAUUUCCUCAUAAUAGGAUGCGGCAGAAAAACAAUCACCGUUUCCAAAGAUGGGAACAGGGGGAAGGUUGGCGUCAGCAACGGACUCGCGGAGGGCGGUGACGCAGUUUUUGAUGUAUUCCCAGUCGGCAGGUUUGGAAUAGCGUUGUUGGCGAGAUCGACCGUGAAUCUGGAGGGGGAGAAGGGUUGUAAUGUCAGUGUCGGGUCUCGGAGAGGCGUAUGGGGAGGGGAGGGGAAAGGGGAAAGGAAAAUGACAACGGACUUACAGUCAAAGCGCCCGCUCCCCACUCAGUGACGAAACGAGGAAUCAACUUGUGAGCAUUUGGUUUUCCAUGCGCAACACCAGUUCUCUAUAUGAGAAUGUUACGUCAGUUAUGCAAAUCCAUAAGCAUGGACACGUCAUAUUGUGCAGGAUGAGGUAUUGGGGAGCAAGGGAGAAACGCACGAAUUUGACAGUCAAAGGAACUUAAAUUGAAGAAAAACGGAUAUGUCAGCCUAUUCAUUCAAAUUACCAAAAAAUGGAGAAGAACGGAGGUAACUUACUAUCGCCAAGGGCUCUGUUCAUGCCUACCAACAGCUUACCCAACCGUCCAGGAGAGUCCAUAACCGGGCGCUACCCGCACCUUGGUUGAAGACCAAAUCAAUCGGACAACCCAUAUUAACAUCCACAAAAUCCACCCCACCGCCCUUCCCUAUGGUAUUCGCAAUAACCUCCGCAGCGGGUACCAUCCGGUUCGGGAACCCGCCGGCGACUUGAACACCAAACAUCUUUUCACUCUCGUGUCGACGAACGAGAGCCCAUUCUUCUUUGGCGCCGUAGACGAGGGGUUGGGCAAGAGCCAUUUCGGAGAUGGUGAUGGUCGCGCCAUAGUCAACGCAGAGGCGGCGGAAUGGCUAAAAAGGAAAGAGUGUUAGCUCGGGAGGGGAAGGGGCAGGAAAAAGAGGAGGGGAAAAGGGGGACUUACGAGAUUGCCGACCGUGGUCAGAGGAGCGAGAUAUCGUCCACCUUCCCAAUUCAACCUCCUCUUCUCUUCCGGCCUGAGAGGCACAUCAAUCGCUUCCGUUUCACCAUAGACCCUACCCUUCUCAUUUCUUUCGUUUUCUGUGGCAUUCAUAGCGCUCUCCUCAUCGUCCCCAGCGAAGGGAACGGAGGUAGGUCCAUUUGCAGCUUCUUCUUCGUCAAGAACAAUGUUUUUACGUUUGGGUGGCUGUUGUUUGGUGGGUUUCUUGUUUUGGAGAGUAAAGGGUUUGUCGGGAUCGACUUUUUUGAGAUAUGCUUCGGAAAAGGGGAAUGAUGCCUUUAAUACUUCGUUAGAACAAUCAUUUGUGUUGACAAUCAAUCGUAUGUCGGAGGGAUAUGUGAAGUGGAAUGGGGAGGAUUGGCAAAGUUGAACUUACAGUACUACGGCGAAGAGCGUUGAGGACUUCAUGUUCAGGCCAAUUUGUCUCCUUUUGCUUCCACCCCUUCUUCACUUCACUCUGUUCCCAGUGCUCGACUUGCCAUUCUCCCAUUCGCUUCUCAGGGCCCGCCUCUUUUUCUUUCUCCUCCCCGUCUACAGCGGCAGCCAUAUGCUUAACGUGCGCACCCAAGAACCGACAUCGCCACCCAAAAGGACAGUACCCCAAAUCCUUUAACACCGGGCAAACCGUCUCCAGAUCAAGUGUCUUCCCCACUACAUCCUCCCCGCCCACCAUCCUUUCCCCUGCUACCACAAAUGGCGUCUCAUCGACCAAGGGCCAAUCAGGACGGUAACUGAUAUCAUUCGGCUUCACGUCAAAGUAACCUUCCCAGCUGUGAGCGUAUCGGCAAUCGCCUUUAUCGGCGCGGUCGCAGAUACCAGUCGUUUCCCAAGCACGACAGAUACGGACAGAGGCUUCCCGGAUGACAGGAAAGUGUCGACCCUUGUUUUGACCUUUUUUGUCUUUUUUGUCUUGCUUGUUGGGUUUACGCCGUUUGUUAUCGGGUCUGUCGCGAUCAUCGCGAGAGUCACGUGAAUCGGUACGACCUUCGGCGGCGUCGUCAGGGUGAAUGUUGUUGAGCUCUGAGGCAGAGGCGGAUUCGACGAUAGGGGUGGUGUUGAUUAGAUAUCUAAAGAAUGAAUUUUGCUUAGUUUGAG